Molecule: ribosomal RNA, 292 nt
Filed under: uncultured bacterium
Lineage: Bacteria
Description: partial 16S ribosomal RNA
Rfam family: Bacterial small subunit ribosomal RNA
Source: RNAcentral
GUGCCAGCCGCCGCGGUAAUACGGAAGGUGCGAGCGUUAAUCGGAAUUACUGGGCGUAAAGCGCGCGUAGGCGGUUGAGUAAGUCGGAUGUGAAAGCCCUGGGCUUAACCUGGGAAUUGCAUUCGAAACUGCUCAACUAGAGUAUGGAAGAGGAAGGCGGAAUUCCCGGUGUAGCGGUGACAUGCGUAGAUAUCGGGAGGAACACCAGUGGCGAAGGCGGCUUUCUGGUCCAAUACUGACGCUGAGGUGCGAAAGCGUGGGGAGCAAACAGGAUUAGAAACCCUAGUAGUCC